This 565-nucleotide ribosomal RNA is filed under the name Cervus elaphus (red deer). Its description in RNAcentral is "partial 16S ribosomal RNA". It matches the Rfam family "Bacterial large subunit ribosomal RNA", at positions 1833 to 2623 of the family's 2925-position model. The record is from RNAcentral. Lineage: Eukaryota; Metazoa; Chordata; Mammalia; Artiodactyla; Cervidae.
GCAUAACUAGUAUUGGAGGCACUGCCUGCCCAGUGACGACCGUUAAACGGCCGCGGUAUCCUGACCGUGCAAAGGUAGCAUAAUCACUUGUUCUCUAAAUAGGGACUUGUAUGAAUGGCCACACGAGGGUUUUACUGUCUCUUACUUCCAAUCAGUGAAAUUGACCUUCCCGUGAAGAGGCGGGAAUAUAUUAAUAAGACGAGAAGACCCUAUGGAGCUUUAACUACUUAGCCCAAAGAAAUAAAUUUCAUUACUAAGGAAACAACAACACUCUUUAUGGGCUAACAGCUUUGGUUGGGGUGACCUCGGAGAACAAGAAAUCCUCCGAGCGAUUUUAAAGACUAGACCUACAAGUCGAAUCACACAAUCGUUUAUUGAUCCAAAAAAUUGAUCAACGGAACAAGUUACCCUAGGGAUAACAGCGCAAUCCUAUUCAAGAGUCCAUAUCGACAAUAGGGUUUACGACCUCGAUGUUGGAUCAGGACAUCCCGAUGGUGCAACCGCUAUCAAAGGUUCGUUUGUUCAACGAUUAAAGUCCUACGUGAUCUGAGUUCAAACCGGAGGA